Molecule: long non-coding RNA, 532 nt
Filed under: Phaseolus vulgaris (common bean)
Lineage: Eukaryota; Viridiplantae; Streptophyta; Magnoliopsida; Fabales; Fabaceae
Description: long non-coding RNA (PVUL_LNC003548)
Source: RNAcentral
GCGAUAUGGUCAAAACUAGAGAAUUCUAGGUAUAUAUACCUAGAAAACAAGUCAAACCCAUGAACGGACUCUCUCUAAUCGAUUUUUCACCUAAUUUUUUUAUCUAGGAUAACGAGCUAAUUAAGAAUCCUUUAUUUUUUUUUACCUAAUCGCUCUUUUGAUUUUGGAAAAAAGAUAUUUAUCAAUAUACUCUUUCUUUUACACAUUUAUACGCUAUCCCAAAAUACCAAUAAUGGAAACUAGCUAUAUAGUUAGGACUCAUAAAAAAAAUAACCCAUUCACCAGAAAAGCUUUUCCCACAUCAAGCACUAACCUCUUUUUAACGUACAAUUAGAUGGGGUAAUGAUCCAAAUAAAAAAUAAAUGAAAGCUCGAUGCUUUUUGUUUCCCUAUUAGAAUUAGAACCACGAAGUUCUAUCCCUUUAUUAAUGAAACCCAACUUAAUUUUUUUUUUAGGAGCCAAAAAUUCAAACAAAAAUUUGAGCUGGAUCCUAUAAGAAUGAAAUAUUUUUAAAAUUCUUCAUUGAUANNNN